CGGCUGCAGUAGGGAAUAUUGCACAAUGGGCGAAAGCCUGAUGCAGCAACGCCGCGUGUGCGAUGAAGGCCUUCGGGUCGUAAAGCACUUUUCUGAGGGAUGAGCAAGGACAGUACCUCAGGAAUAAGUCUCGGCUAACUACGUGCCAGCAGCCGCGGUAAAACGUAGGAGGCAAGCGUUAUCCGGAUUCACUGGGCGUAAAGCGCGUGCAGGCGGUUCGGUAAGUUGGGCGUGAAAUCUCCUGGCUUAACUAGGAGAGGUCGUCCAAUACUACCGGACUUGAGAGUGAUAGAGGAAGAUGGAAUUCCCGGUGUAGUGGUGAAAUGCGUAGAUAUCGGGAGGAACACCAGUGGCGAAAGCGAUCUUCUGGAUCAUUUCUGACGCUCAGACGCGAAAGCUAGGGUAGUAAACGGGAUUAGAUACCCUAGUAGUC
This 433-nucleotide ribosomal RNA is filed under the name uncultured Anaerolineaceae bacterium. Its description in RNAcentral is "bacterial SSU rRNA". It matches the Rfam family "Bacterial small subunit ribosomal RNA", at positions 346 to 795 of the family's 1533-position model. The record is from RNAcentral. Lineage: Bacteria; Bacillati; Chloroflexota; Anaerolineae; Anaerolineales; Anaerolineaceae.